This 902-nucleotide long non-coding RNA is filed under the name Homo sapiens (human). Its description in RNAcentral is "HSALNT0132373". Lineage: Eukaryota; Metazoa; Chordata; Mammalia; Primates; Hominidae. The record is from RNAcentral.
GUAAGGUACGAUAGUCAUUACCGUAACCACCACGGACUUCCGCUGAGCGCCCGUCUCCGCGAAAGUACUGACCCUGGACCCCCAGUUGCCUGGGUCCACCUGUCGAACCAAACACAAGCCUCUUUUAGGUCUCUUUCACUCAUCUGAGCAGGACUUGGCUACCCAGAAACGCCACCUAACACCCGCAGCUUCGCCCCAUCAUCUGUGACUACCUACUGUGCCCGUGAGACUGUCCAGUCUAUAGACUGCCGCUCAGAGAAGGAAGGGACGUGUCUCCUGAUGGUCCCACUUCAGGAGCCAGCAUCCCAGCGAACUGAUACCAGCUGAUAGAGGAGGAAAAAGCCGAGAAGCCAGUUCAGAAAGGCCUGACAUCUUCUCCCUCCCGCAGGAGCCACAGACACUCACCACUAGGUUCCCCCUCCCUUCUCAGGGACCCUGCACUUAGGUGCUCACUGAAUCCCAUUCACCUCAAGGCCCUGAAGAAAACUGCCCAGCAACUCUCCCGUCUCCUCUUGACAUAAUUUUUUCACUCUCCCAGAUUAUUCCCAUUGGUUUAUAAUAGUGUUGGGGUUUUCUCCCGUCUUGCAAGGUAAACAAAACAAAACUCAUAACCUUUAUCCCCUCCAGCUACAACCUCCUCUCUUUUUACUUCACAAUAAAACUCCUGAAAAAGAAUCAUCUGCUCCCUCUGUUUUAAAUCUUUCCUGGUCAUUCUUAAACCCCUUUCCAUCAUCAUUUCUCUCCCACCACCUCCCUGAGUCUCUCACCAUGGUGCUCAAUGUCCCAUCGCUGCCUAACCUCAGCAGUGUCUUGUCAGUUUUCUCCUGUGUGGCCCCUCAGUAGCUUGGGUGCAGCUGUUCCUCCUUGAAACAUCUCUCCUUCUUUCCUCAGCUUAAGGACAC